GAUGAACGCUGGCGGCGUGCCUAAUACAUGCAAGUCGAGCGAACAGACGAGGAGCUUGCUCCUCUGACGUUAGCGGCGGACGGGUGAGUAACACGUGGAUAAACUACCUAUAAGACUGGGAUAACUUCGGGAAACCGGAGCUAAUACCGGAUAAUAUAUUGAACCGCAUGGUUCAAUAGUGAAAGACGGUUUUGCUGUCACUUAUAGAUGGAUCCGCGCCGCAUUAGCUAGUUGGUAAGGUAACGGCUUACCAAGGCAACGAUGCGUAGCCGACCCGAGAGGGUGGUCGGCCACACUGGAACUGAGACACGUUCCAGACUCCUACGGGAGGCAGCAGUAGGGAAUCUUCCGCAAUGGGCGAAAGCCUGACGGAGCAACGCCGCGUGAGUGAUGAAGGUCUUCUGAUCGUAAAACUCUGUUAUUAGGGAAGAACAAAUGUGUAAGUAACUAUGCACGUCUUGACGGUACCUAAUCAGAAAGCCACGGCUAACUACGUG
Molecule: ribosomal RNA, 497 nt
Filed under: uncultured bacterium
Lineage: Bacteria
Description: partial 16S ribosomal RNA
Rfam family: Bacterial small subunit ribosomal RNA
Source: RNAcentral